Molecule: non-coding RNA, 516 nt
Organism: Thalassophryne amazonica
Lineage: Eukaryota; Metazoa; Chordata; Actinopteri; Batrachoidiformes; Batrachoididae
Source: the annotation of a RefSeq genome assembly
AUUUAGGAAUCUGGCAGUUUGUGUUUUCUGAACAUGGAAAUCAUCAUCAGGCGUGGCUUCAUCACAUUAUUUGUGUUUUUGCUGUGGACUCCAGGACUUACAGAUGGAUCUGAUGUCACCCAGGAAUCCACAGUGUGGAACAAAAAGGAUGAAAAUGUGACGAUACACUGCAGCCACAAUAAGGGAAUAGAGUAUUACCAGAUGUACUGGUACAGACAACUACCAAGAGAAACAAUAAAACAAGUCGUUUUCACUACUGCAAACAGUAACCCUGAUUAUGAACGUGGCUUCAGUGAGGAGAAACACGCCGUCACUAAGCCUGAUGCUUUCAGUGGAACGUUCACAGUCAAGAACCUGGUGCCAGAAGAUAACGGCUUGUAUUUCUGUGCUGGGGACCUCGAGUACCACAAAUACUCCCUGAUACACUGUGAUACAAUAUGUGGGUUUUGAUACACCAGCUGACAGGCAGCAGUGCUCCCAUUCAUGUCUCUACAAGUCAGCCCCUCCCAUCACAUA